GACGUAGGGCGCGAGCGUUGUCCGGAUUUAUUGGGCGUAAAGAGCUCGUAGGCGGCUUGUCGCGUCGUCCGUGAAAACCUGCAGCUCAACUGCAGGCUUGCGGGCGAUACGGGCAGGCUAGAGUUCGGUAGGGGAGACUGGAAUUCCUGGUGUAGCGGUGAAAUGCGUAGAUAUCCGGAGGAACACCAGUGGCGAAGGCGACUUUCUGGCCUGUUCUUGACGCUGAGGCGCGAAAGCUAGGGGAGCAAACGGG
Molecule: ribosomal RNA, 253 nt
Filed under: uncultured bacterium
Lineage: Bacteria
Description: partial 16S ribosomal RNA
Rfam family: Bacterial small subunit ribosomal RNA
Source: RNAcentral